AGUGAACGCUGGCGGUAGGCCAAACACAUGCAAGUCGAACGGCAGCACAGUAAGAGCUUGCUCUUACGGGUGGCGAGUGGCGGACGGGUGAGGAAUACAUCGGAAUCUACUUUUUCGUGGGGGAUAACGUAGGGAAACUUACGCUAAUACCGCAUACGACCUACGGGUGAAAGCAGGGGAUCUUCGGACCUUGCGCGAUUGAAUGAGCCGAUGUCGGAUUAGCUAGUUGGCGGGGUAAAGGCCCACCAAGGCGACGAUCCGUAGCUGGUCUGAGAGGAUGAUCAGCCACACUGGAACUGAGACACGGUCCAGACUCCUACGGGAGGCAGCAGUGGGGAAUAUUGGACAAUGGGCGCAAGCCUGAUCCAGCCAUACCGCGUGGGUGUAGAAGGCCUUCGGAUUGUAAAGCCCUUUUGUUGGGAAAGAAAAGCAGCAGGUUAAUACCCCGCUGUUCUGACGGUACCCAAAGAAUAAGCACCGGCUAACUUCGUG
Molecule: ribosomal RNA, 492 nt
Filed under: uncultured bacterium
Lineage: Bacteria
Description: partial 16S ribosomal RNA
Rfam family: Bacterial small subunit ribosomal RNA
Source: RNAcentral